GUCUCACCCUGCGGGAUGCAGAGCCCUUUGCAGCAUGGAACAAGCAAGCGCAGAGCAGGAGAGCCCGUAGGUUAGGCGGCUGCCUUUGCUACUCAGUGAGGAGCAGCGGUCUUCUUAGGAGACGGGAUAUUUUCAGCCAUCCUCUCAUAACCACUGGUGUGUAUCACGGCGAAGAACCGAAUCAAAGACGAACCAAAAGCCGGGGCACGGGCUCGCUUGGCCGCCUAGGUUGCCCGAUCCAAGUGUCAAACCUCUUCCCCUCAAGGGAGCGGGAUUGUCCCCUAUACACCUCCGCUCUGAAAUCUACACGAUCCUCGGUGGGGGCCUUCCGUUUCAAGCUGCCAGGAGAAAGGAAAGAUGAAGG
RNAcentral lists this long non-coding RNA (364 nucleotides) under Gopherus agassizii (Agassiz's desert tortoise). RNAcentral's name for it is "lncRNA (ENSGAGG00000010314.1)". Lineage: Eukaryota; Metazoa; Chordata; Testudines; Testudinidae. The record is from RNAcentral.